AGAGUUUGAUCCUGGCUCAGGAUGAACGCUAGCGGCGUGGAUAAGGCAUGCAAGUCAAGGGGCCCUGCUUGCAGGGAACCGGCAAACGGGUUAGUAACACGUAGACAACAUACCAUUAAGACAGGAAUAACUUAGAGAAAUCUAAGCUAAUACCUGAUAGUCUAUAUAUGUACUUCAUAUAUAGUAAAGUUUUUCGCUUAAUGAUUGGUCUGCGGCCUAUCAGCUUGUUGGUGGGGUAAUGGCCUACCAAGGCACUGACGGGUAGGGGGCAUGAGAGUGUAUUCCCCAACAUUGGAACUGAGACACUGUCCAAACACCUACGGGUGGCUGCAGUCGAGAAUAUUCGACAAUGGGCGAAAGCCUGAUCGAGCGACGCCGCGUGUUCGAAGAAGUCCUUAGGGAUGUAAAAAACUUUUCUGGAAGAAGAAGUUCCGCUUGCGGAAUUGACGGUACUCCAGGAAUAAGGGGAGGCUAAUCACGUGCCAGCAGCUGCGGUAAUACGUGAUCCCCAAGCGUUAUCCGAAUUUAUUGGGCGUAAAGGGUUCGUAGGCGGUUAAGUAAGUCUUUGGUUAAAUAUCCACGGCUCAACCAUGGAAAUGCCAAAGAUACUGUUUAACUAGAGGGCGUUAGAGGCUAACGGAACGGUCGGUGUAGGGGUGGAAUCCGUUGAUAUCGACCGGAACACCAAAAGCGAAGGCAGUUAGCUGGGACGACCCUGACGCUGAGGAACGAAAGCGUAGGUAGCGAACGAGAUUAGAUACCUCGGUAGUCUACGCUGUAAACGAUGAAUACUAGCUAUUUGAAGUGUCGACCCUUCAAGUGGCGAAGCUAACGCGUUAAGUAUUCCGCCUGGGAAGUACGGUCGCAAGACUAAAACUCAAAGGAAUAGACGGG
Molecule: ribosomal RNA, 894 nt
Filed under: marine metagenome
Description: bacterial SSU rRNA
Rfam family: Bacterial small subunit ribosomal RNA
Source: RNAcentral